RNAcentral lists this ribosomal RNA (458 nucleotides) under uncultured beta proteobacterium. RNAcentral's name for it is "bacterial SSU rRNA". It matches the Rfam family "Bacterial small subunit ribosomal RNA", at positions 188 to 641 of the family's 1533-position model. The record is from RNAcentral. Lineage: Bacteria; Pseudomonadati; Pseudomonadota; Betaproteobacteria.
AGAAGCAGGGGAUCGUAAGACCUCGCGCUAUUGGAGCGGCCGAUGUCCGAUUAGCUAGUUGGUGGGGUAAUGGCCUACCAAGGCGACGAUCGGUAGCUGGUCUGAGAGGAUGAUCAGCCACACUGGGACUGAGACACGGCCCAGACUCCUACGGGAGGCAGCAGUGGGGAAUUUUGGACAAUGGGCGAAAGCCUGAUCCAGCCAUGCCGCGUGAGUGAAGAAGGCCUUCGGGUUGUAAAGCUCUUUCGGCCGGAACGAAAUCGUCCGGGCUAAUACCCCGGAUGGAUGACGGUACCGGAAGAAGAAGCACCGGCUAACUACGUGCCAGCAGCCGCGGUAAUACGUAGGGUGCAGGCGUUAAUCGGAAUUACUGGGCGUAAAGCGUGCGCAGGCGGCUUCCUAAGUCAGAUGUGAAAUCCCCGGGCUUAACCUGGGAACUGCGUUUGAAACUACAAAGC